UACGUAGGGUGCGAGCGUUGUCCGGAAUUAUUGGGCGUAAAGAGCUCGUAGGCGGCCUGUUACGUCUGCUGUGAAAGCCCGGGGCUCAACUCCGGGUCUGCAGUGGAUACGGGCAGGCUAGAGUCCGGCAGGGGAGACUGGAAUUCCUGGUGUAGCGGUGAAAUGCGCAGAUAUUAGGAGGAACAUCAGUGGCGAAGGCGGCUCACUGGCUGAAUACUGACGCUAAGGCGCGAAAGCGUGGGGAGCAAACAGG
RNAcentral lists this ribosomal RNA (253 nucleotides) under uncultured bacterium. Its description in RNAcentral is "partial 16S ribosomal RNA". It matches the Rfam family "Bacterial small subunit ribosomal RNA", at positions 524 to 776 of the family's 1533-position model. The record is from RNAcentral.